CACUCGCGAGCCGCGAGCUUCAAGAGGGGGACGCGUUGGGAACAUUUGCUGCAAGAAGCCAACUACCGGAGCCGCCAGGCGUCGUGUGGAGUCGCGGGUGUUGAUUAAAGAAGGAAUUGGCCAGGUGAUGGCGAGCUAGACCCAAAGAAUUCUAGGCCCACACCGCCUGAAGAACCCUGGAGCUCGAACUGAAGUGAACUGAACUGGACCUCUUGCACCUUCUCCACCUGGUUGGGCUGGUAGGAGGCUCCUUUAAGGUAGCCGCCCCUCUCUUUUACUUUUUUGCCUCUCGUAACAACUCAUUCUUGGCCCAAACCCAUUCACCACUCGUUCAACACUCCCUUUCCCUGGACACUGCCCUUUCCCUCUGGACGAUUUGGGCCACUGAACUGUUGCGUGUGUUCUAUCUCGGCUGAACUUCAGAACUCUUUCGCGCGUCUAAUGGAUCGUUUCUCGCGUGUUAAUGGAUCCAUCGAAUAAUGUUUUUUUGUGAAAUAAUUGUGACUUAAUUCUGCACUUCUCAUGAAUGGCCAUUCACUUUAAAUGUGAAAUGUUGUUUGCCGAUGUCAAAAUAUAAUAUAAUUGGUACCACCUAAAACUUACAUCAUUGUGUUCAGUCUCCUUUCCUCCACUCCUAGAGCCGAACUUAGAUCUGUCUGAUCUCUAGCCCAAUUCAACCAAUACUGUAACUGCAAACUAGUACCAAUACAGCGCUAAUAGUAGCAGCAUAUAGGCUACAGUUGAUUAAAAAGUUCCAGGACUUUUUGUGGGCUUGAUUUACACCAUGCUAUCAACAGCAGUACCUGUUUUUGUGAUCAGUAGUAGAUGCGCAGUUGCCUCCAUGGACCAUGAAUCAUCCUUCAUGUUGACGAUCAUCAUGGUGGGUCUGCAGCGACCAUCAACUGCAGCCGGAAGUCUCCAAAUCAGGCAAGGUGCAACGGUAGCAUGUUCGCUGUUUUCUUCAGCAUUUAAGUGCUUGUACACCAAGAAUUAACGUCCCAGUAUCAGACCAUCGAAACAGAGUUCUAGUGUAACACACUGAGGUUUCUAUUGAAGAAGAUUUCACGACUCGCGACACCAUUUUAACAAACACGAUAUUUCCUUACAUUGUUUUGCAGAUGAUGUGCAAGUAGCCCCAAAACUACAGGUUUGUUGCAGCCACUGCUAAACUGCCUAGAAGACCUCAAAUCAUGGUUGGACAUUAAUUUUCUUUGUCUCAACAACACUAAUACAGAGAUUGUUGUUUUUAGCCAUCCAGACCAAUCAAUAGACUUGAUCAGUGCCCUUGGCCCUCUCGAUGUUUAUAAUCGACUGUCUUCAAAUAAUCUGGGUGUGAUUUUUGACAGUGCUUUUAAAUUUGACAAACAGAUCAGUUCUGUUGUCAAAAUCGGCUUCUUUUACUCGAGGCUGUUGGCCAAAGUGAAGCCUUAUCUGUCCCACAAUGACUUUAUCACAUCUAGGCUAGACUAACUCUUUGUAUGUGGGUCUUGAUCAGAUGUCUCUUUGUUGGCUCCAGCUGGUACAAAAUGCUGCUGCCUGGCUUCUAACAAGGACAAAGAAACGGGAGCACAUCACUGCAGUUUUAGCUUCGCUCCAUUGCCUUUCUGUCUGCUUCAGAAUUGUUUUGAAGACUUUAUUGCUUAUUUUUAAAGGUGUUAAAUGGGUUGGCACCUUCUUAUUUAUCUGAGCUUUUACACGUUCUUGCUCCAGUUUUAGCGCUGAGGUCGGCCAAUCAGAUAAUCCUCAAAGUUCCCAGUUCCCAACUCAGAAACAGAGGGGAUAUAGCCUUUUCUGUCUCUGCACCUAGUCUGUGGAAUCACUUCUCUGUUCUUGAUACCUUCAAGUGCCUACUGAAGGCAUAUGUACUCUCUAACUUUUAACUGUAGUUAAGUUUGACACCUUGACAUAUGUCAUUGUUUAUCAUGCUCUGUAUAUUUCCUCACAGCAUUCUGUUUUGUUUCAAUGUUGAGCUUGUUAAGCCUUUGAUCAACCUUUGGUUGUUUAUAAAUCUGCUAUAUAAAUAAAGUUGACUUGACUAGAACUGUGAUGCAAUGACAUAUGAGGGCACCAAUGCGUUAAUUAUUCGUCACUCCCUAAAGGCUUCUUGUGACUACUUCUUCUUGCACAAAAUUAAUUUCAAUUUGAACGAUCUGGGUUCUGACACAGUUUAGAAGAUUCAGUGUGCAUCAUACAUAGGGGCUUUAUGUUUACUUCAUGUAAAUUCCACACAAAUAGGCACUUGAUCAAAUUACCCCAAAGUAAUAGUCACACGGUGAAAAUAGGACUUUCCAGUCCCUUGAGGUGUUGGGUAGUUGCACAGUCGCCAUGAAGGCAGAACCCAAGAAAAAAUAGGGUUUUCUUUACUCUUUUAUAUGAAUUGAACUAGAUUAAUAGAGCCUAGAGAUCAGUGUGUGUGUUUUAAAAAAAUAACUUUUCCUUUAUCUCUCUAUCUCAUUGUGUCUUACCUUUGAGGAACAAUUUGGUGUUGAUGGAUGGGUCAACAAAGCAUGCAACUUUGACGCUGAUGCCAUUUUGUUUUCUAAAAACAUACGAUGCAAGUGUUGACAAUUUGUUGUUGAACCUUAGCCGAGUAAUUUUUUGUUUGUUUACUUCAUUGAUUCAUAAAGCAGUUGCUCAUUGGUGCCUAAAAUUGGCCAAACCUUGAUAUCAGUUUUGGAAUGCACUAUCAAAUGAUCUAUCUAAUGAACUAUCCUCAGAUCAGAAAACAAAUGGUUCAUUUUAAAAGGGGAUUUUUAAAAAAACAAACAAAAAAAAAACUAUCAUAUUAUUUAGUUUGGAACAACUCAUUGCAUCUGACAGCAUUUAUUGACUUUUUAAAGCACAGCUCAAAGUGUAUUUUUAUACUUGAAGUCUAUUUCCUUCUGUUUUAGAGUGCUAGAUGUGCUUUUCAUUUUGUUGUACAGUGCAAAGGUUCAUUUGUGAAGCUACUGUAAUCCUAUUCUGUGACAGCUUGAUGAUUUCUAACACUAUUAAACCUGCCUUUGUACUCAAGCUGCAUAUUAAUUCAUUGACUGAACCUUGGUGACAAACAACAGAUUGAUUGAACAGUGAAGCGUUUUGUUGUACUUCUGCACAAUGAUAAUAAAGUCUCUUUAUCUUUAAGAAUUAUGGUUUCCUGUACUUCAUU
Molecule: long non-coding RNA, 3148 nt
Organism: Amphiprion ocellaris (clown anemonefish)
Lineage: Eukaryota; Metazoa; Chordata; Actinopteri; Pomacentridae
Exons: 3
Source: RefSeq, a predicted model, not a curated record